Long non-coding RNA from Oncorhynchus nerka (sockeye salmon), 2390 nucleotides. RefSeq lists it as uncharacterized. Lineage: Eukaryota; Metazoa; Chordata; Actinopteri; Salmoniformes; Salmonidae. The record is from RefSeq and is a predicted model, not a curated record. The transcript has 3 exons.
AGUUCCCGACUUGGAAUUUACGAGUUGGAUGAAUAAUUUUCCGUAUUUUACCAGUCAGAGCAAAAAAAAAAAAUCUCAGUUGUCUUGAACUCAAAGAAGUCUGAGAUUUCCCAGUUCGAGUUUCCAGUUGUUGUGAAUGCGGCAGAAGUCAUGCUGGAUUGACAGAAUGGCCAAUGUAAUCACACUUUACCAAUUGGAUAUCAUGAAAUUGGGGAGCAAAAGGGGGUAAAAAAAAAAGAAUAAUUUAAAAGGAUAAACAGUUACACGCCAUGGGCCAGAAAUGACUAUCUUGUCUCAAUGCUUCAACUCCCCUAUGGACUCGGUGAAGGUCGAGAGCCAAGCCGCACUGUUUCUUGACACUGCUCGCUUUAACCUGGAAGCCAGCCGCACCAAGGAAGGAAACAGCGUUGAAGUCUAUGGCAGCACCCAAGGGACUUGAACUUUUGAUCUCUACCCGUAGACUUUACGGUGACGUAGUGUCCCCAUGAGCGACAGAACAUGGAGCCAAUCACGGUGCAACUAGAGAACAUUACCAACCCCUACGCUCCGUAUUUUCUGCUGGCUGCCUCACCACCACAGAAAAAAACUGAGCUAGGCUGAAACACCUGCAUUUUUGAUGCAGCUUUAUUAACUCAAUGAUUUAGUUUUACAUUGUUUGCAAACUGAUAUGUAACAUGUAUUAAUGCCAGAAAAACAUGCAAAGCGGGCACUUUUUUAUAAUUAUAUAUAUAUAAAAAUGUCUAUGCCAAACAGGUGGGUCCCAAAACAGAAGCUCAAUCAUGUAUUGAUAAACAAAAUAUUGAACAGCAAUUUGUCUUUUGCAUAGAACUGUGGGCUGAAGAGAUUGGGGUACCUUGUGAGGAUCCAGCGACGAGUGGCUAAUCUGCCUUUGUACGCUGGCCAAUAGUACCGAUGGCAAUCACUGGAUAAUAAAGCGGAUGAACUAAAAGCACGUAUAUCCUACCAACGGGACAUUAAAAACUGUAUGACAACAUGAAUAACAUACAGCUGGUGGGUUAUACACUGUAUCGGCAGGAUGGAACAGCAGCCUCUGGUAAUACAAGGGGUGUCAGUCUAUGUAUAUUUGGAAACAACAGCUGGUGCACGAUAUCUCUAGGUUUUUCUCGCAUGACGUAGAGUAUCUCAUGAUGAGCUGUAGACCACACUAUCUACCUCAAGAGUUUUCAUCUGUUGUUUGGCACUGUCUAUUUACCACCACAAACCGAUGCUGGCACUAAGACCACACUCAAUGAGCUGUAUACGGCCAUAAGCAAACAAUUUAAUGCAGGGUAAUGUAAAUCCUUUUUAAUCAAAUUUCAACCAGCAUGUUAAACGUGCAGCCAGAGGGGAAAAAACUCUAGACCACCUUUACUCCACACACAGAGUGUCACGCAUACUCCCCCUCUGGUCUCUUGGUCAUCAGGCUGCAGAUUAUCAGGCACACCUGCCACCAUCGUCUCGCUCACCAGGGCCUCAUGACACUCACCUGGACUCCAUCACCUCCUUGAUUAUCUUCCCUGUAUCUGUCACUCCCCUUGGUUCCUUCCCCAGGCCAUUGUUUCUGUUUCAUGUCUGUGUGCUGUUAGUGUUUCUUGUUUUGUAUUAUGUUCCGUUUAUUUUAUUAAAACACUCACUCCCUGAACUUGCUUCCCAACUCUUGGCACACUUGUUACAGAAUAACACCUCACCUAAGGGAAGCAUCAGGGAGUGUUUUUGUUGUUGUUUUUCGUGUCAGAGUAAAUGACGUCGGAUCCGGGAACUGCUACAGACUCUCAUGCCUCAACCAGAUCAGAUCGCCAGGCUCCCCUGCCUCAGGAGGCUCGUUGGGCUUUCAUGCCUCAGCCGGAUUGCCAGGCUCCCCUGCCUCAGGAGGCUCGUCAGGCUUUCAUGCCUCCGCCGGAUCGGCAGGCUCCCGCGCCUCAGCUGGCGUGACAGGUUCCCGUGCAUCAGCUGGCGUGACCGGUUCGCUCCUGAUCCCCGGGUUCAUCCCCUUUGAUGGCAUCCUGCACCGCGCACCGAGGAGAGAUCUCCUCAAUUUAAGGUAUACAGACGAGGAGGCAUACAAAGGUAUGUUAAUUGGUAUGUUAUGCAGAUCACGUGUGACAUCCUCCCUUACCUCUUCAAUGAAAAUCACAUAGGCCUCUACAUUAUGGACAAGAUUCACAGGUUUCACCCUCCCUACACAUCUGAUGAAUAUACCAGGAAACCUGUUCGAUCACCCUGCACUGCAAAAUCAUUCUGGCUAUGGAUACGGAGAACAUCAACACAUUAACAUCAUUACGCCAGAAGAUAUACCCAUUGGACUUAGGGCUCUGCUGAGAGUUUACCUCAUAUUUGGAUAUGUUAUUCUGCUUUGCCAUUAAAAUCAUAAUAAACACUGACAACUAAAA